ACACUAAAAAGCAUAGGCAAACAUCUCCAACAAAAAAAUGUACUAAAAUUUGUGAUAUUUUUUGUACUGCAUGGAUCUACAUAUGUGGAGCUGAACAAAAUUUGUUUUGUAAUUUUUAGAUUUUUCUAUGAAUUACUACACACUUAUCAAUUUCUAGACGAUUUAAAGAAUAAAAGAAAAGUAAACUAAUAGGACAAACACUUUGCACUUAGGCCCCUGUACUUUCUUUAUUCUCAACAUGCUUUGAUAUGUACAGAAGAUAUUACAUUGGGAACUCAAGAAAAGCUUCUAUUUUGUAUUUUUAGGUAUAGAUAAAAAAAGAUGGAAGAAAAUAGUAGAAAGAAAAAGUCAUGUACAUACCACACGCAUGGAAGUGGAAACAGAAAAAGAAAAAAAAUCGGGAAAGGCCGAUGAGAACGUCUUUCAUAGAUAAAAAUGAGAUCGGGAAUUUUUUUUAGCUGAUGACAAAGACUGAGUCAAUUUAUGAUUAUAGGUUGGAUGAAAAUUUAAGAUAGACUAAAAUUUUAGUUUUUUAUUAUU
Molecule: long non-coding RNA, 540 nt
Filed under: Sorghum bicolor (sorghum)
Lineage: Eukaryota; Viridiplantae; Streptophyta; Magnoliopsida; Poales; Poaceae
Description: long non-coding RNA (SBIC_LNC013751)
Source: RNAcentral